Molecule: non-coding RNA, 28 nt
Filed under: Homo sapiens (human)
Lineage: Eukaryota; Metazoa; Chordata; Mammalia; Primates; Hominidae
Source: RNAcentral
UAGAAGAAGCCGCUUUUCCCCAAGGAGA